ACCAAGGGCAGUUUGGAGGUCAGAAACAAGAUGUAGUCAACGAUGUCAGAUUUCUCUUACUGUCAUAAUUUUGCAGGUGCAGUUCUACCUUUCCAAUACCACAGUUUUUUGCAGGAGUAGAUGGAGUCUUUUUCAUGGUCUACUCCCUGGUGUUAACAACCUUGCUUUUUCCAAUGACUUGAGAGUUCUCCUGCCCAACAAACAGAAGAUAAUUUGCUCUCUGAGGUCUGUUGAAAGAUAAACUUUGGCACAUUAAAAUUUUAGAGUUUAUUUGAACGACAACAAUUCUUGAAUGAGGCAACUCUGAACUGGAAGUGUUUUUUUUUUUUCCAGGACUCCUCUAACAGAGCAUGAGAAGGAAGCUUUUAUAGCAUGAUUGAAGAAGCAAGGCAAAGAAAAUAUUUGAUUGGUUACAGUGGAGGAGUAGCCUUAUUUGGAUCAUUCCAGUGGAAAGUCCAUUGUCAGAGGCCAGCUGUGGGAUCUCAACACAACAUCCCUGAAGCUGAACCCAGUGGAAAGCCCAGAUGAAGCCUGAGAAGAUGCUCUUCCCUUCUCUCAUUAUGUGGCCCUUGAUCAAGGUAACAAUUUGCAUGCCCUAUAUACAAAUAGGCUGUCCCUCGUAUAGCACCCAUCACACACUGUAAUGUAAUGGCGUAGGUACUAUACUUUGCCUCACCUUCAAUUCUGAAUUUUCUCUUCUGUUCCCUUUUAUGUCUUAUCUUCUUUUUGAAAAACUUAAAUGUGCAAUUUAAAGAGAAAAACGCAUUUUCAUGAAAUAUUGCUAUAAGAGGUGGAUACAAUAAUUGAUAAAGGAAAUUAUAGUUUUCUAGACACAAUAAAUGCCUAGAGAUAUAAUAAAUGCCAAAUUACAAUUUCCCUUAUCAAUUUUUUACUGUAUCACUUUUUGCUAGUUAACUCUAUGCUAAUAAACCUAAGGGCAUACAUGAUAAAAUCUAUUUGAG
RNAcentral lists this long non-coding RNA (962 nucleotides) under Callithrix jacchus (white-tufted-ear marmoset). RNAcentral's name for it is "lncRNA (ENSCJAG00000082241.1)". Lineage: Eukaryota; Metazoa; Chordata; Mammalia; Primates; Cebidae. The record is from RNAcentral.